GCGGGCACCCAUGGGGAUGGACCCAGGAGUGGAGGAUGACCCAGUAUGAUGAAAGUUCAGCCCACUCACUGACACCAGUGACACAGUAUUGACCAGAUCUCCUGGAAGUGCCUCCUGACGCAGACCCAGUUGUUGGGUAGCCAGCCACCCAUGCACGUUGACACAGCCAGCACGGAGCACCCAGGGGGAUGGACCCAGGAGUGGAGGACGACCCAAUAGGAUGAAAAUUCAUCCCACUCACUGUUGACACCAAUGAGGGAACAAGAGAGGCUAGGCAACCCCAUCUUUUGACAACGGUCACCACCAGUCUAUUUCUAAAAAUGUUAUUAUUAUAUAUCUGUUAUAUAACAAUGUAUUUUUGUAUGGAUUAUAUGGGACAUUUAAAUGUUUUUUAAACAAAUGCUUAUUUAUCCUUUCUAUCUGUAAAUAAACUUGAACAUAUAAGUUUACUGAGUGAAUGACAACCAAACUGCAUGAAUUACAUAAUCACAAAAUUCCAUUAUUCCAAAAGCGCCUAUGAGUGUAUGGCUACUUUAUGACAGCAUUUAGAUAUUUGUGAAGAUUAUAUUGUACAUUUUAAUGGGAUUAUGUCCAAAGAAGUGCUUAUUAAUCUUUUAGUUUCUAAAUAACCCCAA
Engraulis encrasicolus (European anchovy) is the source of this 635-nucleotide long non-coding RNA. RefSeq lists it as uncharacterized. NCBI's taxonomy places the organism in Eukaryota, Metazoa, Chordata, Actinopteri, Clupeiformes, Engraulidae. The record is from RefSeq and is a predicted model, not a curated record. The transcript has 4 exons.